Molecule: non-coding RNA, 1152 nt
Organism: Nylanderia fulva
Lineage: Eukaryota; Metazoa; Arthropoda; Insecta; Hymenoptera; Formicidae
Source: RefSeq, a predicted model, not a curated record
UCGUAAAAAAUAUUUAAUUAUAAAAAGAUAAAAAUAUUAAAUAAUUAACUCCUCUUCACGUUCGUUCGCUGAUAAUCGUUUGGUCUGGACCCAGCUUUUACAUGUUCGUGUGCGCUGCACGCGUUUAGUCCAGUUAUCGUACAGACUUUCAUAAAAUAUUUGAUAUAAAACUUUGAAUAUUUACAGUUAAAAGCUAAGGAUCUUAAGCCCGUAGCUCACAACGUUGUUAAGCGGAAUAAAUUAAUGUGUUAGAGCUAAAGCGUACCAUUAUCUUAAUAUGAUCAUGGUGUUCCGUGAACAGUACUCGAAUAAGCUGGAAGCAUAACUUCCUCUUCGGGCGAAUGCAGGUAACGUCGACUUAAAUUGAUGACAACCAUAAUGCAACAUAGAAGCAAAGGGCCAAAGAUUGCUCCCUCUACGCCUAAACAGAAGAUCCCACCUGCUAUGGAUAGGCCUGUCAGAUAAGGAUGUCCACCGCUGAAACAAAUGAAAAUUCCGUCACCACUAUGUUACACGGGAGAAAAUGGAAAAGGAAGAAAGGAAUAGCGAUCAUCGAUCCGCGAGUGAACCAGAGCUCGAUCGUGGCCGGGAUGCAAGCAAAGUACGCGUCCAAAAAAGGAACUGCACCCAGCAUAGUCGCGAGGGCCGAUGGCAAGUAGACGAUCUUCACUUGGAAUAAAUUGUGGAUAAACCACGUCCACAUGCCGAAGAAGGAGGCGAGCUUGAAAGUCGCCGCGAACACUCCGAUCACCGCCUCUUGUAACGCUAUGGCAAAUCUGAAAAAAAGUCAACAUUAUGUCUUCUGCAUGCUAAUCGACUCUUCACACAUAAUUGAGUUAUUUAAAAAUAGCUAUUGACUCUAUACUAUUGUACGAAGAUUAACUUACCCUUCUACCUGUGUCGUGCUUGUGAAAAGAUAAAUAUUUAUGUAAAUUUCAAGAUCUCGCAUGCAUAUAUUCAUAGCAUGCGAAUGCAUAGAAAUGAAAAGCAAUUAAGUUUAAGAUAUCGGAUAUAUUUAUACCUGUGACAGCUAAUAGGACUAAACAUCGUGGUCAAUUCGAUGGGUUUGUAUGUUUUACCGCUGGAACUGAGUAAAUAAAAUAGAGUUGUAAAGAAGACCACCUAAAAUAGAAAAUUCUUACAUUUCUCGUA